AGUGGUUUGGUUUGGUUUAUUUUUUAUUAGUAACAUAUUGCAAAACUGAUGAUCUUCAAUUUGGAAUGCAGAUUUCCCUUCUAUCCAAAUUCAGGACCAUAGGAUGAGCACAGGCCAGACAUUUUUUUUUUUUUCUAACAGCAAAGAAAACGUUUAAUCUCUCUGAAUGUUAAUGUGCAGCUCUGGACUUUCUAAUUUGAUUUUAUUUCUUUGCUCUUCUCUUUUAGUUCCCUCAGGCUCAGCCUUAAAAUUGUUUACCAACUGCUGUUUACAAUCACAAUUACUGUAUAUUCUAAUAACAUAAUGAGGAAAUGGAAUAGACAGUCCCCAAGAAACAUCUGUAUCCAUCAGAAUUUGAUCAGAGAAGCAGCACAACUACAAAUGAUGAAGCAGGAGAGGUUUACAACAGAGAUUAGUGGAGCUGAUGGAGAAGUCGAGGCAGGACUAUCGUCUUGUGUCUGGUAUUGUGCGUAAAGUCACAACAGGUCUGCCAGACCAGCUGUUGGGAAAGGGAAGCCUAAUAUAGCAAGAACAAGGACAAUUAGAACAGGUGGGGAGUACUGGGACCCACAAAGACAAACCCUAACUCUUAAGUGACUCUCACCAACUCCCAACCCAGUGCUAUGAGAGGUUUUCAGGAGAAGCUGCGGUCCUUUGGAGCUGGACACGCAGGACUCAGUGAAGCUGAUUCAGGAGAUCUUGUCAGAACCGUUUCAAUCAACCUUCUAUCUAAAUGCUCAGUAAAAAAAUUAAAAUGUUAGCUUUAAUUCACGUCUUCUUUUUGUCUAAACAUAUUCUUCUUCAAGUCCUGUUAUUACUGCUACAAUGGAAUGUGAAGCUGCCCAUUUCUCUCCAGAUAAGCAAUUACUAUCUGGUUCCAAGUUGUGAGCAUGUUUCAACCAUGAACGUAACUUUCAUAGUCCCAGUUUUGAGCCAUCCCACCUCAAAAACAUAGACUCCACACAGUGGCCUUGCCCUAGCCCCAAAUUCAUCAAUGAUUUUCCUUGACAUAGUGAAAUCUGAAGUCCUUCCCUGAGCUCCAAAUCUCAACGCCACUCCCUUAAUCUAAAAAUGUAUCCAUUCAGCCUCACCCCCUUCCACUUUUUUUGACUUUAUUUCACCCCUGCCACCUUAGCUUCCUUUAUAUUUUGAAAUAAUUCUGUGUUCUUUAUCAUCAUAACUCAGUUGUUUUACCUUAAGCCAGCAGCUCUUCUGUCUGCAUGAUUCUUUAUCUUUCAAGUUUCAUUUCAAUAUAAUCUGCUUGCAAAUUAAUUUUCUAAUUACCAUGUUUUUGGUAAACAUUCCCCAUCUCUUAUUCUUCUACACACAGACACAUACACAUACACUUACUCCCUUCUCUAUCUUCUUCCUCGGCCUUAUAAUAAUGUAACUUAUGUUUUCAUAAACAAACCUUAAAAACAGAACCUGACAGAAAACAGUCAAUAUAUAUUUGUAGAAAGACAAAAUUAUCGCUUUUAUUUGUAUUCAUUUUAUUAAUUAUAAUGCUUUAAGUCAUUUCACAUAUUCAUUUGCAGUUGGUAAGUCUUCUGUAUGUUGACAGCUGAAUUAGCCCAUUUGUUUCUUUCUUGUGUUCUUUGUUUUCUUUAAAGUGCCUUACUUAUUUGUGAAGGCUAAGAAUACCUUAAAAUAUUUAUCUUUAGGCCGGGUGCGAUGGCUCACGUCUGUAAUCCCAGCACUUUGGGAGGCCGAGACGGGUGGAUCACUUGAAGUCAGGAGUUCGAGAACAGCCUGGCCAACAUGGUGAAACCCCAUCUCUACUAAAAAUACAAAAAUUAGCCUGCCAUGGUGGUGGAUGCCUGUAUUCUCAGCUACUCGGGAGGCAGGAGAAUCGCUUGAACCUGAGAGGCGGAGGUUGCAGUGAGCCAAGAUCUCACCACUGCACUGCAGCCUGGGCCAAACAGCCAGACUCCGUCUCAAAAAAAAAAAAAAAAAAUUAUCUUUAAUCUCUCAAACAUGUAACAUAUUUUUCAUCAUUUAAAAAUAUUUUACAGUUUUGUCAUAGAUAUUUUACAUCUUCUAAAUCAAAUUUAUCUUAUACUUUGACUUUUCUGACAUAUUUCCUAUGAAGUUAUUUUUCACCACAGUAAUAUAAAGACCUUGACUAAAAUUAUCUAGUCAUCACACAAUUUUAUAAUUUAAAUUUGUAUCAUUAACACGUGUGAUAUAUUUUGCUAUAUGAUAUGUGAUGGAGCGCCAGCAUUUUUUAAAUUUAUCUAUAUUUGUUGCCAAUGAUCUAAAUAAAUUUUUUGUUUUAUUGAUCUGUCUUAUGUGAGAAUCUUAAAGUUUUAGUAAGUAUAUCUUCAAAUUCAUCUCCGGCAUCUUACACUUUUUUCCAGAACUUUCCCGAUUACUAUCAUAUAUACUCUUCCAAAUGAAAUUAAAACAAUUUGAAAUAACUUUAGAAGUGUAUAAUUAUGUUUCUAAGUAUUGAUGAAUUACUUAGAUAUUUGUUUCUGUCUUUUUGUUGUUGUUUGCUAUGGUUU
This 2504-nucleotide long non-coding RNA is filed under the name Homo sapiens (human). Its description in RNAcentral is "HSALNT0034842". The record is from RNAcentral. Lineage: Eukaryota; Metazoa; Chordata; Mammalia; Primates; Hominidae.